This 468-nucleotide ribosomal RNA is filed under the name uncultured bacterium. RNAcentral describes it as "partial 16S ribosomal RNA". It matches the Rfam family "Bacterial small subunit ribosomal RNA", at positions 28 to 507 of the family's 1533-position model. The record is from RNAcentral.
GACGAACGCUGGCGGCGUGCUUAACACAUGCAAGUCGAACGGAAAGGCCCUGCUUUUGUGGGGUGCUCGAGUGGCGAACGGGUGAGUAACACGUGAGUAACCUGCCCUUGACUUUGGGAUAACUUCAGGAAACUGGGGCUAAUACCGGAUAGGAGCUCCUGCUGCAUGGUGGGGGUUGGAAAGUUUCGGCGGUUGGGGAUGGACUCGCGGCUUAUCAGCUUGUUGGUGGGGUAGUGGCUUACCAAGGCUUUGACGGGUAGCCGGCAUGGGAGGGUGACCGGCCACAUUGGGACUGAGAUACGGCCCAGACUCCUACGGGAGGCAGCAGGGGGGAAUAUGGCACAAUGGGCGGAAGCCUGAUGCAGCAACGCCGCGUGCGGGAUGACGGCCUUCGGGUUGUAAACCGCUUUCGCCUGUGACGAAGCGUGAGUGACGGUAAUGGGUAAAGAAGCACCGGCUAACUACGUG